This 301-nucleotide ribosomal RNA is filed under the name uncultured bacterium. RNAcentral's name for it is "partial 16S ribosomal RNA". It matches the Rfam family "Bacterial small subunit ribosomal RNA", at positions 509 to 807 of the family's 1533-position model. The record is from RNAcentral.
CAGUAGCCACGGGAACACGGAGGGUGCAAGCGUUAAUCGGAAUUACUGGGCGUAAAGCGUGCGUAGGCGGUGAGUUAAGUCUGCUGUGAAAUCCCCGGGCUCAACCUGGGAAUGGCAGUGGAUACUGGCUCGCUAGAGUGUGUCAGAGGAUGGUGGAAUUCCCGGUGUAGCGGUAAGAUGCGUAGAGAUCGGGAGGAACAUCAGUGGCGAAGGCAGCCAUCUGGGACAACACUGACGCUGAGGCACGAAAGCGUGGGGAGCGAACAGGAUUAGAUACCCCCGUAGUCCCUGUCUCUUAUAC